This 391-nucleotide ribosomal RNA is filed under the name uncultured bacterium. RNAcentral's name for it is "bacterial SSU rRNA". It matches the Rfam family "Bacterial small subunit ribosomal RNA", at positions 1001 to 1393 of the family's 1533-position model. The record is from RNAcentral.
AUGUAAUGUACUCUUUCUUCGGAACACCGGUGACAGGUGGUGCAUGGUUGUCGUCAGCUCGUGUCGUGAGAUGUUGGGUUAAGUCCCGCAACGAGCGCAACCCCUGUCCUUAGUAGCCAGCAGUUCGGCUGGGCACUCUAGGGAGACUGCCAGGGAUAACCUGGAGGAAGGCGGGGAUGACGUCAAAUCAUCAUGCCCCUUAUGACUUGGGCUACACACGUGCUACAAUGGCGUAAACAAAGGGAAGCGAAAAGGUGACUUCUAGCAAAUCCCAAAAAUAACGUCCCAGUUCGGACUGUAGUCUGCAACUCGACUACACGAAGCUGGAAUCGCUAGUAAUCGCGAAUCAGAAUGUCGCGGUGAAUACGUUCCCGGGUCUUGUACACACCGA